RNAcentral lists this ribosomal RNA (253 nucleotides) under uncultured bacterium. RNAcentral's name for it is "partial 16S ribosomal RNA". It matches the Rfam family "Archaeal small subunit ribosomal RNA", at positions 474 to 727 of the family's 1478-position model. The record is from RNAcentral.
UACCAGCACCCCGAGUGGUCGGGACGAUUAUUGGGCCUAAAGCAUCCGUAGCCGGCCUUACAAGUCCUCCGUUAAAUCCAGCUGCUUAACAGAUGGGCUGCGGAGGAUACUAUAAGACUAGGAGGCAGGAGAGGCAAGCGGUACUCAGUGGGUAGGGGUAAAAUCCGUUGAUCCAUUGAAGACCACCAGUGGCGAAGGCGGCUUGCCAGAAUGCGCUCGACGGUGAGGGAUGAAAGCUGGGGGAGCGAACCGG